Parasteatoda tepidariorum (common house spider) is the source of this 741-nucleotide long non-coding RNA. RefSeq lists it as uncharacterized. NCBI's taxonomy places the organism in Eukaryota, Metazoa, Arthropoda, Arachnida, Araneae, Theridiidae. The record is from RefSeq and is a predicted model, not a curated record.
UUUAUUUUUUUCUCAAGAACUCCAUUUUGCUCCCCAAACCUUAUUUUUGUCAUGUAUGUUUCUUAGUCUAAUUUCAGGAUGAAUGAGAAAAGGGCCGUAAGGCCUCAGACGCCCAGUUCCACUACAAUGAACGAGCGAACGAACCUCUUCUUCUUCCAACUCAAGAAUCCUCUUCUUCAUCUAACUGAACUUAACUCAACUAUUCUACUUCAUCCAACUCAACUCAACUAUUGCUUUCAUCACUUCGCCGUGAUUUCUUUUUUCCGAGCAAUCUACUAAACAGUCGAAAACAUUGAUUUGAUUCUGACGAUUUGUGACAAAGUAAUACCUCACUUAGGCAAGCUAUGGACAACGUAGGAUGGAAAGGGUAUCUUAAAUGUGUAACUGGCACUUGCUUGUGUGGGGUCGGCAUUCUCCUGGGUUCUGUUGGAUACCAUGUAACAAAUCCUACUGAAAAGGUGGCUUAUAAUCUCUUAGCGUGUACAUCUGUAGUCUUGGGUUCCAGUUUGACUUACCAUGCGUUGAAAAACGGAGAAAGCGACGAAAGUAUUGGUCCAGAAGUCUUGGCGAAUGAUAUCACUUACAUAUCAGUCAAUGAAGAAAAUGGAAUGAAAUAGAAUUGGAACGGAGUAUUCCUUCAUGAAGCCGAAAGACCUUGUGGACUUUUAAAUCAUGUUUUAAAUUGUAUUUCGUUUUACAAUUUUAUCAUCGGAUUUGUGUAAUAAACAUUUUAAUUCUUUA